Molecule: ribosomal RNA, 208 nt
Filed under: uncultured bacterium
Lineage: Bacteria
Description: partial 16S ribosomal RNA
Rfam family: Bacterial small subunit ribosomal RNA
Source: RNAcentral
CACGUAGGCGGCGCUCUAAGUCACGGUGUGAAAUCCCCCGGCUCAACCGGGGAACUGCACCUGAUACUGGAGCGCUCGAGGACGGUAGGGGUGAGUGGAACUCCAGGUGGAGCGGUGAAAUGCGUAGAUAUCUGGAGGAACACCGGUGGCGAAAGCGGCUCACUGGACCGUCUCUGACGCUGAGGUGCGAAAGCUAGGGUAGCAAACG